Molecule: ribosomal RNA, 492 nt
Filed under: uncultured bacterium
Lineage: Bacteria
Description: bacterial SSU rRNA
Rfam family: Bacterial small subunit ribosomal RNA
Source: RNAcentral
GAUGAACGCUGGCGGCGUGCUUAAUACAUGCAAGUCGAACGAGGGACUUCUGUCUUCGGAUGGAGGUUUCCUAGUGGCGAACGGGUGAGUAACGCGUUGGUGACCUGCCCCGAAGUGGGGGAUAACAGUUCGAAAGGACUGCUAAUACCUCAUGUGAUCAGCUGGAUUAGAUGCCUAUUGAUUAAAGGCGAAAGCCGCUUUGGGAGGGGCCUGCGUCCCAUCAGCUAGUUGGUAGGGUAAUGGCCUACCAAGGCGAUGACGGGUAGGGGACCUGAGAGGGUGGCCCCCCACACUGGCACUGAAACACGGGCCAGACACCUACGGGUGGCAGCAGUAGGGAAUAUUGGACAAUGGGCGAAAGCCUGAUCCAGCAACGCCGCGUCGCGAUGACGGCCUUCGGUUGUAAGCGCUUUAGAGGAGAUGAGAAAGGACAGUAUCCUCAGAAUAAGCCUCGCGAACUACGUGCCAGCAGCCGCGUAAACGUGUAGUCGU